UACGAAGGGGGGCUAGCGUUGCUCGGAAUCACUGGGCGUAAAGCGCACGUAGGCGGAUCGAUCAGUCAGGGGGUGAAAUCCCCGCAGCUCAACUGCGGAACUGCCUUUUGAUACUGUCGGUCUAGAGUAUGGAAGAGGUGAGUGGAAUUCCGAGUGUAGAGGUGAAAAUUCGUAGAUAUUCGGAGGAACACCAGUGGCGAAGGCGGCUCACUG
Molecule: ribosomal RNA, 213 nt
Filed under: uncultured bacterium
Lineage: Bacteria
Description: partial 16S ribosomal RNA
Rfam family: Bacterial small subunit ribosomal RNA
Source: RNAcentral